This 490-nucleotide ribosomal RNA is filed under the name uncultured bacterium. RNAcentral's name for it is "partial 16S ribosomal RNA". It matches the Rfam family "Bacterial small subunit ribosomal RNA", at positions 30 to 507 of the family's 1533-position model. The record is from RNAcentral.
AUUGAACGCUGGCGGCAGGCCUAACACAUGCAAGUCGAAUGGUAGCAGGAAACAGCUUGCUGUUUCGCUGACGAGUGGCGGACGGGUGAGUAACGUCUGGGAAACUGCCUGAUGGAGGGGGAUAACUACUGGAAACGGUAGCUAAUACCGCAUAACGUCGCAAGACCAAAGAGGGGGACCUUCGGGCCUCUUGCCAUCAGAUGUGCCCAGAUGGGAUUAGCUAGUAGGUGGGGUAACGGCUCACCUAGGCGACGAUCCCUAGUUGGUCUGAGAGGAUGACCAGCCACACUGGAACUGAGACACGGUCCAGACUCCUACGGGAGGCAGCAGUGGGGAAUAUUGCACAAUGGGCGCAAGCCUGAUGCAGCCAUGCCGCGUGUAUGAAGAAGGCCUUCGGGUUGUAAAGUACUUUCAGCGGGGAGGAAGGGAGUAAAGUUAAUACCUUUGCUCAUUGACGUUACCCGCAGAAGAAGCACCGGCUAACUCCGUG